This is a long non-coding RNA of Eupeodes corollae, 929 nucleotides long. RefSeq lists it as uncharacterized. The transcript has 2 exons. Lineage: Eukaryota; Metazoa; Arthropoda; Insecta; Diptera; Syrphidae. The record is from RefSeq and is a predicted model, not a curated record.
CGUCCAUUGGUCGAAAAUUGAUUAAUUUGUGUUGCAUAGAUCUUAAUUUCCGAUUCAUAUUAUGUUCUUGGUCCUCAGGUAAAAGUAGUACUUUUAGCAAUAAUGUUUAGGGAAGUAAAAUACAAAUACAAAUGCAAUACUAUUAGUUUUGAAGUGAAGGGAAUUCCUACGGCAGGUUGUUGAUCAUGACCCCUACAAUCCCCACCCCCCUGCAUCCGCCUAUUGAAUUGAUGACCUUUUUGGAAAAGAAUAUAAGUCUUAGAAGUUUGACCCCGAUUGUUACGCUUUUAGUCGCUAGACAAUUCGUCAGGCUGCAGCCAGAGAUCUGUAGAUCAUUCAGUCAACAUAAAGUUACUGUACAGUACAUACUUGUUCGUUUAUUUAAUUUUUUUUUUUUUUUUAAGAAAACUAUCGUUACGAAAUUUUUCAAUUUUAUCACAAUUAUAAAUCAGAAAAUUUCUUCAAAGGAACUCACAGCUUAAAAAUUAGUUUAAAAAACAAAACUAUUUCUAUAUUAUUUACUGCAAUCAUGAAAUUCAUUCAAAUUUCGGUCAUUGUUUGUGUGAUUUUUUUAAAUGCAGUUCAUGGACAUAAGAUUUCUAAACGAGAUGAUGCAAAAGAAAAAACCGACAUGUCUGAUGAAAAAAAUUCAGAUACGGCAGACUCCGACGACAAAAAUGAUUCAGGAGGAUCUGAUUCUUCCAAAUCAGCUGACAAAGGUCCACGCAAACAUAAACCUAAAUCGAGUGGAGUUUCUUCUAAUUUGGAAUUUAAUAUGAAGUAUUUUAUUGAAGCAUUGAUAAUCAUGAAGUUAUUCUGUCUAUCUAAAUUGUUUGCAUAAUAAUCUUUUGUUUGUUGUUAAUUUUUUUUUUUGGAAAUUUUUGUUAUUUUUUUUGAAUUUUGAAUAAAUUGAAUUGAAUAAAAUUUAA